This 368-nucleotide long non-coding RNA is filed under the name Zea mays. Its description in RNAcentral is "drought responsive lncRNA". Lineage: Eukaryota; Viridiplantae; Streptophyta; Magnoliopsida; Poales; Poaceae. The record is from RNAcentral.
UGGCCCAAGAUAGGAUAUUCUUCUUUGUGUGCUUUCCACCAGGCUAGUAUGUCAAAAGUAUGCUGAUUAUUUUUACCAAUCUUUAAUAUUGGAUCUGUCAAAUAUUUUUCUAAGUCACUUGUGUCAAUAGAAUCAUCAUGGCCUUGUCCAUCAAAUAUGUAGCUAUCAAGCUCUUCAUCGAUACUUGACUUAAUCAUGUCACCCGUUGAAGUUGGGUAAGGUGCAACAGAUGAUGUUGAGGGUGUAGUAGAGACAUAGCAUUGAUACAUCUUUUUCAUGACACCAUUAAAUUUAUCCAGCUCAGUUUGAUAGGUAUAUGGGUACACCUUCUUCAAGUAAAAUUCUACAAUUUUCCUCUUGUAUCUAGG